RNAcentral lists this ribosomal RNA (513 nucleotides) under uncultured Lactobacillus sp. Its description in RNAcentral is "bacterial SSU rRNA". It matches the Rfam family "Bacterial small subunit ribosomal RNA", at positions 505 to 1020 of the family's 1533-position model. The record is from RNAcentral. Lineage: Bacteria; Bacillati; Bacillota; Bacilli; Lactobacillales; Lactobacillaceae.
GUGCCAGCCGCAGCGGUAAUACGUAGGUGGCAAGCGUUGUCCGGAUUUAUUGGGCGUAAAGGGAACGCAGGCGGUCUUUUAAGUCUGAUGUGAAAGCCUUCGGCUUAACCGAAGUCGUGCAUUGGAAACUGGGAGACUUGAGUGCAGAAGAGGAGAGUGGAACUCCAUGUGUAGCGGUGAAAUGCGUAGAUAUAUGGAAGAACACCAGUGGCGAAAGCGGCUCUCUGGUCUGUAACUGACGCUGAGGUUCGAAAGCGUGGGUAGCAAACAGGAUUAGAUACCCUGGUAGUCCACGCUGUAAACGAUGAAUGCUAAGUGUUGGAGGUUUCCGCCUUCAGUGCCGCAGCAAACGCAUUAAGCAUUCCGCCUGGGGAGUACGACCGCAAGGUUGAAACUCAAAGGAAUUGACGGGGCCCGCACAAGCGGUGGAGCAUGUGGUUUAAUUCGAAGCAACGCGAAGAACCUUACAGGUCUUGACAUCUUCUGAUAACCUAAGAGAUUAGGUGUUCCCUU